UACGGCUCAGUAACACGUAGAUAAUCUGCCCUUAGGUCGAGAAUAACCACGGGAAACUGUGGCUAAUACUCGAUAGAAGAUUUCGUCUGGAAUGACAUUUCUUUGAAAUUCGAGCCUAAGGAUGAGUCUGCGGCUGAUUAGCUUGUUGGCGGGGUAAAUGCCCACCAAGGCGAUGAUCAGUAAGGGCCCUUAGCGGGGUCGCCCUGAGAUGGAAUCUGAGACACUAUUCCAAGCCCUACGGGGUGCAGCAGGGGUGAAUCUUUUACAAUGCACGAAAGUGUGAUAGAGCGAGCCAAAGUGCUUAACUUUUUGUUAAGCUUUUGCCUGUUGUAAAUAUACAGGCGAAUAAGGACUGGGCAAGACCGGUGCCAGCCGCCGCGGUAAUCCCGGCAGUUCAAGUUGCAACCAACAUUAUUGGGUCUAAAACAUCCGUAGCUUGUUUAACAAGUCUCUUGUGAAAUCUCAUGUCUCAAGUAUGAGGCGUGCAAGAGAUACUGUUAAGCUAGAGAUCGGUAGGUGUAAGAAGUACACGAGAGGUAGUGGUUAAAUACGUUAAUCUUUCGUGGACUCACAAUUAGCGAAGGCAUCUUACAAGAGCGAGUCUGACAAUGAGGGAUGAAGGCUAGGGGCGCAAAACGGAUUAGAUACCCGUGUAGUCCUAGCAGUAAACACUGCUCACUAAACAUUGGGGC
This 692-nucleotide ribosomal RNA is filed under the name uncultured archaeon. RNAcentral's name for it is "bacterial SSU rRNA". It matches the Rfam family "Archaeal small subunit ribosomal RNA", at positions 84 to 780 of the family's 1478-position model. The record is from RNAcentral.